AGAGUUUGAUCAUGGCUCAGAACGAACGCUGGCGGCGUGGAUUAGGCAUGCAAGUCGAACGCGAAAGGGCUGCUUCGGUGGCCUGAGUAGAGUGGCAAACGGGUGAGUAACGCGUAGGUAAUCUGCCUUCAAGCGGGGGAUAGCCCAGGGAAACCUGGAUUAAUACCGCAUGUGUCCAGCACCUAUUUCAUACUUUGGAGUAAGUGGAGAUCAAGUAUUUUUCGAGGUAUGAAACAGGUGCUGGGUAAAGUUGGCCUCUGUUUCAAGCUGACGCUUGGAGAUGAGCCUGCGUCCUAUUAGCUAGUUGGUGGGGUAACGGCCUACCAAGGCGAUGAUAGGUAGGCGGCCUUAACGGGUGGUCGCCCACACUGGGAUUGAGAUACGGCCCAGACUCCUACGGGAGGCAGCAGUCGAGAAUAGUCUACAAUGGGGGAAACCCUGAUAGUGCGACGCCGCGUGCGCGAAGAAGCCCUUCGGGGUGUAAAGCGCUUUUCUGUGCGAGCAGUGCCAUCAUGGCGAACAGCUAUGGUGGAGGGAUAUUAACACAGGAAUAAGCCACGGCUAACUCCGUGCCAGCAGCCGCGGUAAUACGGGGGUGGCGAGCGUUGUCCGGAAUCACUAGGCGUAAAGGGCAAGUAGGCGGAAUGGUAAGUGAGGUGUCAAAUGCGUCGGCUCAACCGGCGUUGUGCAUUUCAUACUGUCAUUCUAGAGUAGGGUAGAGGAAGACGGAAUUCCUGGUGUAGCGGUGGAAUGCGCAGAUAUCAGGAAGAACACCGGUGGCGAAGGCGGUCUUCUGGGCCACUACUGACGCUAAAUUGCGAAGGUGUGGGUAUCGAACAGGAUUAGAUACCCUAGUAGUCC
RNAcentral lists this ribosomal RNA (861 nucleotides) under uncultured bacterium. Its description in RNAcentral is "bacterial SSU rRNA". It matches the Rfam family "Bacterial small subunit ribosomal RNA", at positions 8 to 796 of the family's 1533-position model. The record is from RNAcentral.